Molecule: ribosomal RNA, 586 nt
Filed under: uncultured bacterium
Lineage: Bacteria
Description: partial 16S ribosomal RNA
Rfam family: Bacterial small subunit ribosomal RNA
Source: RNAcentral
UGGGGAAUUUUGGACAAUGGGCGAAAGCCUGAUCCAGCAAUGCCGCGUGUGUGAAGAAGGCCUUCGGGUUGUAGAGCACUUUUGUCCGGAAAGAAAUCCUCUGGGUUAAUACCUCGGGGGGAUGACGGUACCGGAAGAAUAAGCACCGGCUAACUACGUGCCAGCAGCCGCGGUAAUACGUAGGGUGCAAGCGUUAAUCGGAAUUACUGGGCGUAAAGCGUGCGCAGGCGGUUUUGUAAGACGGAUGUGAAAUCCCCGGGCUUAACCUGGGAACUGCAUUCGUGACUGCAAGGCUAGAGUAUGGCAGAGGGGGGUAGAAUUCCACGUGUAGCAGUGAAAUGCGUAGAGAUGUGGAGGAAUACCGAUGGCGAAGGCAGCCCCCUGGGCCAAUACUGACGCUCAUGCACGAAAGCGUGGGGAGCAAACAGGAUUAGAUACCCUGGUAGUCCACGCCCUAAACGAUGUCAACUAGUUGUUGGGGAUUCAUUUCCUUAGUAACGUAGCUAACGCGUGAAGUUGACCGCCUGGGGGAGUACGGUCGCAAGAUUAAAACUCAAAGGAAUUGACGGGGUCAUAGCUGUUUCCU